This 2410-nucleotide long non-coding RNA is filed under the name Sus scrofa (pig). Its description in RNAcentral is "lncRNA (ENSSSCG00015013427.1)". Lineage: Eukaryota; Metazoa; Chordata; Mammalia; Artiodactyla; Suidae. The record is from RNAcentral.
UUGGCUUCCUCAACCUCCUUCUACACAACCGGAUCCUCUAUACAAAAAUUGCAACAACACAGUGUGCAAAGUGCCUCUGGCUCUCAGAAUCUGCGUUGGUGGGCAAAGAGCUAUGGCCCAUGUGGCAUUAGCAAGGAGCAAAGCGAACACCAUGGCCAUUUCAGAUAUCUUCAGCAAGAUGUCUUUGUAAUGGUAAAAAAAUAGGAAUCCUUAGAGAAUCCUAAUUAUGGGAAACAAUUAUUCAGACAAGUUGCUCUUCAUUUAAACUAUCAGAAUACCAAUGUGAAGAAAACGUAAUACUUCCAGUCUCUACCAGUUGAGGGAAUGGGCAAUCUUAAGGCUGACUGCCAAGAGCACAGGCCAGCUGUUUCAAGAUUUAAUUAAAACAGUUUUGAUAAUUAGCAUAACUUGUUUAUGAAUGUGAAAAUAUUUCUUAUGUGAAUAUAUAGGUCACCUUGUCAGUUAUGAGGGGGGGCAGAAAUCCUACAACAUAUGGAGCUGUGAACCAAUUAUUUUAAAAAACCCAAUUUGGAAUUGCUCUUGAACUAUCCUCCAUCCUAUCACCCCCAUAAAAACAAUAAAAAUAAAACCAAAUGUGCAUGUACCCCUCCAACCUGGUUUCUGCAUCUAUUUUAAGAGGCAAAUGACAUUAUACUUUGAAGUUCUAUUGGUUGAAAUGAAUAGAAAUGAACCCAAACCAGUUUAAGCGGUGGAUGUCUACAGAGUGGUUCCAUUGAUUUUAAUAACCUGUGUUAGGAUCACAGUUCUGCUAUUUUCUAGCUCUGACUCUUAGUAAUCUUUCUUAAUAUUGUCAUAUUUUUGCUUUUAUUUACUAAAAAAAAUAACAAAUCACCCAGAUAAUGUCCCCUCAGAAUUUUAUUCUGAAAGAUCCAUUGCUUCCCAGUGAUAUUUUUAGUACAAAUUUAGUAUUAUAACUGUUCUAAAAGUGUUACAUUUGGAAAGAAGAGGAGAAAAAGGAGGAGGAGGAGUUAAGAAUGUUCCACCUGCCUUUUACUGCCCAGUACCUCGAACAGUCUUGCCCUAAUUAAUCAAUAAAAUGCCAGCAAUAGUCUUUCCGCUAUCUUCUUCAAAUCCUUUCUGGUGUCUGUCACCCACUGCGCCAGGCAUACUCCUUUCUGCACACUUCCCUCACUGGCUGCACAGUCUGAUCAUCCUGUGUCUUGCUCUUUCCUCAAGCUAAGGGUUCAUCCCUCUGUUUGCCCAUUCUUUGUGGCAGAGCCCAGCAUGAGGUCCUUGGGCCUCUCCCUGUUCAUUGUGAAUGCUCUGCCUGGUGAUCUGUCACUUUGACCUAGAAUUCGCCCCUACAUUCCAAGCCUACUCAUCCAGAUACCUCCUGGCCAUCUCCACUUCAUGCAUACAGUACAUAGCAACCACUUCAGAACUUAGCAUGUCCACAGUGGAAAUCACAGCCUCAUCUCUCAUAAUUGCCCUCCACCUUCUAGCCUAAACCUCAGCCACCCUGAACCCUGCAGUUCCCCAGUGGCAACACUCACAAACAUUUCCAUCUUUACUCUCCUGGCCUCUGCCUGGGACUCUCUGCCUUCUUCAAGGGAGCCUAACUUCCUGAGGUAGGCCUCCUUCUUGGAAGUCAGUGUGUUCACCACUAUAACACCAACACACACAGGCAUCCUUCUUGUACCUGCCCCAAAUUUGAGUUUCCCUUUUAUAAUGUCUAAUUCAUCAUAACACUAUCUUAUAAAAAUCCAUUUAGUUUUUCUUUCUAGAAUUUUUACAUUUUAAGAAUGGUUAUGUGCCACCAAUUACUGACUGUGGCUAGGCUAUGCCUGAUAAAUUUACUGGUGCUCUUUAGAGCCAUCCUAAAUCGGCCUGGUCAAUAAAGGACUGCUUGCUACUGGCCACAGGAAGGAAAACAGACCUGAGCCUUUUGCAGGAAGAUAGAAUCAGAAACCCAUUUAUUCAUUUCACUCUUGACAUAUAUUUACUGAGAAUCUCCUAGGUGUUCAAUAAUGUGCACUCUAUUAGGAAUUUGGAAUUUAAUAAUGAAAAAGGUAGCCUUAGUACUUUCUCUCAUGGACCUUGCAGUCUAGUGGAGAAGAGAAAUGAUAAGGAGAUUAACACAUUGUUUUGUAACCAUAGACUAUAAUAAGCACCACAUCAGAGAAUGUUCGUUGUCUCUGGAUGAGUUCCUUGUAGCCUCAGGUUCAUACUGUGUUUCAUCUUAGUGAUUUUCUCACUGGUGAAGGCACUGGACACUGCUUGGAAAGAUUCCAAAGAAAAUCCACAAGAGAGUAUGACAGCCAGGAGCCUCCUGGUUGUGAUGUGAAAACUCUGGAGCCUGGCUCUUCCUGAAGCUGCUUUGCAGAACUUGCUUCUCACUAACAUGACUGUCCCGAGAAACACUAAAUUCCAACUAAGUAGGCUGCAUGCC